CCAACAGGGAGGUGUAACAGCACCCGGAGCACUGACUAUAAAGUCACAGAGUUAGAAAUCCUAAGUGGAGAAUUCGGACCCAAACUGGUGCUGAACAGUGAGACCCAUGACCCCCCCGUGGCCACAGUUGCCUCCUCCAUCCUCUGCUUCCUCAGGAUUGAAUGAGUGACUCUUAUUCUAUUACAUGAUUUCCAAGUACACUUAGGUUUAUACCCAGGCAGUGCAGGGCCCAUCCUCCUGCUCUCAGCAACAGGACAGCCAUUUCGUGGGUGGAAACUGCUGCUGCUCUUCCCUUGCAAGGGUGUUCUGUGUACACAUGGAGUAGCCUGUGUUCCCAAGAAACGAGCCCACGAGAAUCCAGCUGCUGGAGUGGCACGUUGGGUUAUCAACUACAAGAAUUACAAAUUGAG
This is a long non-coding RNA of Neopelma chrysocephalum (saffron-crested tyrant-manakin), 410 nucleotides long. RefSeq lists it as uncharacterized. The transcript is spliced from 3 exons. Lineage: Eukaryota; Metazoa; Chordata; Aves; Passeriformes; Pipridae. The record is from RefSeq and is a predicted model, not a curated record.